UACGUAGGGGGCAAGCGUUAUCCGGAUUUACUGGGUGUAAAGGGGGCGCAGACGGCGAUGCAAGCCAGGAGUGAAAGCCCGGGGCCCAACCCCGGGACUGCUCUUGGAACUGCGUGGCUGGAGUGCAGGAGGGGCAGGCGGAAUUCCUGGUGUAGCGGUGAAAUGCGUAGAUAUCAGGAGGAACACCGGUGGCGAAGGCGGCCUGCUGGACUGCAACUGACGCUGAGGCUCGAAAGCGUGGGUAGCGAACAGG
Molecule: ribosomal RNA, 253 nt
Filed under: uncultured bacterium
Lineage: Bacteria
Description: partial 16S ribosomal RNA
Rfam family: Bacterial small subunit ribosomal RNA
Source: RNAcentral